This 461-nucleotide ribosomal RNA is filed under the name Streptococcus mitis. RNAcentral's name for it is "bacterial SSU rRNA". It matches the Rfam family "Bacterial small subunit ribosomal RNA", at positions 28 to 473 of the family's 1533-position model. The record is from RNAcentral. Lineage: Bacteria; Bacillati; Bacillota; Bacilli; Lactobacillales; Streptococcaceae.
GACGAACGCUGGCGGCGUGCCUAAUACAUGCAAGUAGAACGCUGAAGGAGGAGCUUGCUUCUCUGGAUGAGUUGCGAACGGGUGAGUAACGCGUAGGUAACCUGCCUGGUAGCGGGGGAUAACUAUUGGAAACGAUAGCUAAUACCGCAUAAGAGUAGAUGUUGCAUGACAUUUGCUUAAAAGGUGCAAUUGCAUCACUACCAGAUGGACCUGCGUUGUAUUAGCUAGUUGGUGGGGUAACGGCUCACCAAGGCGACGAUACAUAGCCGACCUGAGAGGGUGAUCGGCCACACUGGGACUGAGACACGACCCAGACUCCUACGGGAGGCAGCAGUAGGGAAUCUUCGGCAAUGGACGGAAGUCUGACCGAGCAACGCCGCGUGAGUGAAGAAGGUUUUCGGAUCGUAAAGCUCUGUUGUAAGAGAAGAACGAGUGUGAGAGUGGAAAGUUCACGCUGUGAC